CACGUAGGGGGCAAGCGUUGUCCGGAUUUAUUGGGCGUAAAGAGCUCGUAGGCGGUUCGGUAAGUUGGGUGUGAAACCUCCAGGCUCAACCUGGAGACGCCACCCGAUACUGCUGUGACUAGAGUCCGGUAGGGGAGCGUGGAAUUCCUGGUGUAGCGGUGAAAUGCGCAGAUAUCAGGAGGAACACCAGCGGCGAAGGCGGCGCUCUGGGCCGGAACUGACGCUGAGGAGCGAAAGCGUGGGGAGCGAACAGG
Molecule: ribosomal RNA, 254 nt
Filed under: uncultured bacterium
Lineage: Bacteria
Description: partial 16S ribosomal RNA
Rfam family: Bacterial small subunit ribosomal RNA
Source: RNAcentral